CGCAUCGGCAGUAGCGCGGUGGUCCCACCUGACCCCAUGCCGAACUCAGAAGUGAAACGCCGUAGCGCCGAUGGUAGUGUGGGGUCUCCCCAUGCGAGAG
RNAcentral lists this ribosomal RNA (100 nucleotides) under Ewingella americana. The record is from RNAcentral. Lineage: Bacteria; Pseudomonadati; Pseudomonadota; Gammaproteobacteria; Enterobacterales; Yersiniaceae.